GAUGAACGCUGGCGGCGCGCUUAACACAUGCAAGUCGAACGAAAAUAGCAACCUUGCUUGGUUGAAUAGUGGCGAACGGGUGAGUAACACGUGGGUAACCUGCCCCUUACUUUCGGGUAGACAUGCUGAAAACGGGGAUAAAACACUAAGACAUUCUGACCUCCGUC
Molecule: ribosomal RNA, 167 nt
Filed under: uncultured bacterium
Lineage: Bacteria
Description: partial 16S ribosomal RNA
Rfam family: Bacterial small subunit ribosomal RNA
Source: RNAcentral